Equus asinus (donkey) is the source of this 2577-nucleotide long non-coding RNA. NCBI's taxonomy places the organism in Eukaryota, Metazoa, Chordata, Mammalia, Perissodactyla, Equidae. The record is from Ensembl.
CGCAAGGCCUCGCCAGGCCCUCUGGAGGAUUAGGACUGAGAACUUCAGGCCCCUCCUCUAUAUCCUCUAAAAAUCUGCAGGCCCCUUAGAGUCACUCGGACCAACUGUAGCUCGCUAACAUGUCAAGACGAAAUCAGAUGCCCAGAGAUGAUGGUGGGGUUACAAAAAGAAAAUAAAUACAGGCUAUGGAUGGCCCCUCAUUCAGGUUUCUAACCAUCUCUCUCAAAUUCCUGCUUUCUUCCUUAAUCCAAAGGAUGCCAGUCAAGCUGGUACCAUGGGGACGUCUCGGUCCCCUUCCCAUGUGCACGCAUCUGGCCCAGGAGAUGUGUAGGCACGACACAGGAGUGGCUUAGCUGGAAUUAACACAACGCAGCCUGAGGGCAUAUGUGGACCAUUUGGAACUCAAGGCCCCAGGAGGUGGCCCAGUAGCAGCAGUAAGGUGCCUCUGGAAGGUGAGACCUCCCUAAUACUGUUUGUGCCAUUUCAUCAAGAUUUGCAGAAACGGUAGAGCUGAUCGUACACGCAGAACUACCACGUUCCUGGCAGACAUCUCCUCCCUUCACGCAUCUUAGAGCAGAAGGCGCAGCUGCAACCUGAGAGAACAUGGUCCUAAAUGCAGAAUCCUCGUGAUGGGGAAGUCAAGGACUGAUUGCUUUAGGUGAGUAAGAUGCUUCAACAUCUUCCAAAGCAGAUGCAUCGUCAGAAAAUCUUCUGGGCCGAGAACACUCUGCAGGAUCCCCCGAUGGAAGACGAGGCUUGUCAGAUGCCAACAGACUGAGAGCAAUAAAGUGUAAAUAAUUUAGAGCUCCUUGAUAUUAUCCUGCCUACUCAUCACGUACAUCUUUAAUAAUUGAUUCAGUCUUUAAAGAAAUUCUCUCUACGUAACUUACAGCAUUCUCUCUGUUUUUGGCCUGUUGACAACAGCAGACCGUUUCUGUGUGGGACCCGUCCUUCCCGGGUGAGGCACGUUUGUUUGCACAGGAGACGUUUUCCUGCUGUUGGUUUCUAUGGCUGUGUUCUGCACAUGCUCAGUGAGCAUUAUGGUUCUGAUCAGAAUUCUCCUUAAGGUCCUCACCAUUGUCAGGAACUGUUUUAGAGUUUUAUAUCUAUUGACAUGAUUCCCACAGCAAUCCUAUUAUCGCCUCUUAUUUCUCUAUUUUACAGAUGAAGAAAAUGGUUAAAUCACUUGAAUAGAAUGCCCCUAUCGCACCUGUCUACUCCCGACACUGACAGAUCACUGCCUGGCGCAGUCACCAUGGGAACAAGGCUGUAGAUAACUCGUACCACGGUGUUAACUGGGUUAAUUUUGUGUAGAAAAAAUCGCCUCGGUUCAAAAGAAGCUGGUUCCUUUAAAUAUCUGAUUACGGAGCCCGGCUAACUCACUCACACAGAGAGCUCUGGGGAGGGGGAAGGGAAGUGACGGGGAUGGAAAACAGCUGAGGAAUAGUGACAUCAGAUGCUCCCAGUACAACAGCCAGAGAGAGGACGCCAGCCAGGCAGAACGUUAGAGGUAACGGAAGGGACCUGGAGCAUAUUUAUAUUUUGUAGAAUGCAGUUUGCUCCAGAAAUGGAAAUUAUUCCAGGAAGGUCAGAGAGAAGACGCUGCUGUAGAUGGAAAGUGCAGCUGAGCAGAAACCCCAGGACCCAAAAAAGAAUCGGAUCAUGACACUGUGACUCUAAGUAACUUAUCGACUGCAGAGCAGGACUUUCAGCGGACUUACGCCCUGGGGCUUUGCCCUGUAAAAACGGCUGAGCAGGUCAAAGCAGAGGUGCCACACAUUAGGAACUGCAUACUGUCUCUUCUUAUUGUGCACUUUUAUUUUCUGUUUAACUUGCACAUGCCAUUUAUUUGUUUUUUUAAAAUUGAGAUAUAAGAUACUACCAAAAAAGGUCAAAUGUGUAAAGUAUACGAAUCUAUGUGUAUAGCUUCACGAAUCUCACAUACAUGUAUAUAAACAUACAUCAAUGUAAUCAACAUCCAGAUCAAGAUACAAAAUACUUCCCCCACCCUAGAAAGCUCCCCAGCGAUGCCCAGCAAGCCCACCAGAAGGAAAGGGCAUCCUUACUUCGAGCACCUGAGUUAGUUCUGCCUGUCCUCGAUAAACGCGAGAAAUGAGUCAGGCAGCAUUCGCUUCUGGCUUUUUACUCAACACAAGGUGUGUAAGAUUCAUCCGCGUUAUUGUGCACAUCAGUCGUUGGUCUUUAAUGUUGUGGUUUACAUUGUGUUGGAUGACUAUACUCCUCAUUUAUUGAUCUCUUCUCCUGUUGACGGACAUUUGUGCUGUGUCCAGCUUGAGGCAGUUAGGAAUAAAGCUUUGGUGAAAAUUGUUAUGUGAUUUUCUGUUGUUGUACCUAUGUGCCCAUUUCUUCUCCAUAGGUCCCUAGGAGGGGCGUGUCUGGGCGAUGGGGCAGGCACGUGCUCAGCUGCUGUUGAUACUUUGGAGGACGCUGCAGCUCAUCCCUCAGCGUCUCCUUCAGAUGGUUCCUCCUCGCUCCUGGGACUGGUGCCAGCUGCCAGCCCUCUUUGGCAAUUGCUUCUCCUUCAGCUCACACCUAUGGCCACACGGGGGAUCCCUU